Molecule: ribosomal RNA, 253 nt
Filed under: uncultured bacterium
Lineage: Bacteria
Description: partial 16S ribosomal RNA
Rfam family: Bacterial small subunit ribosomal RNA
Source: RNAcentral
UACAGAGGGUGUAAGCGUUGUUCGGAAUUACUGGGCGUAAAGCGCGUGUAGGCUGCGGAGUAAGUCGGAUGUGAAAUCCCUUGGCUUAACCAAGGAAGUGCAUCCGAUACUGUUUCGCUUGAGUGUCGGAGGGGAUGGCGGAAUUCCCGGUGUAGAGGUGAAAUUCGUAGAUAUCGGGAGGAACACCUGUGGCGAAGGCGGCCAUCUGGACGACAACUGACGCUGAGACGCGAAAGCGUGGGUAGCAAACAGG